AAACUCACUUGACUCAUUUGUAACGAACUUUACAACGAACUUUCCAACGAACUUUCCAGUAGUCAGUUGUUUGCCGGUGAUGCCUCCUUGCUGCUCCUCGUUACGGAGUCUUUAUCAUCGAUGCUGAUGAUCGCGUUCGUUGUCUCGAUACUCGUCGUAGUUGGAACCACGGUCAACGUCGUCGUCGUCGUCGUCGUCGCUGUCGUCGGAGUCGUCGAUAUCGUCGAGGAUACAUCUUCGAUAACUGGCGAACUUCUGUGUACGCUCGGCAGUUUAUCUACGCAGUUAUCUUCAUUGGGCAAAACGAAGGAAAUCGUGCAAGGAUCAACAAAGGAAAGGAGCGAAGAAAAUUAUCGUUCGAGAGAAAACGAACGAGCUACGAAAGUAUUGCACCGAGAUCUAUUCGUUACCGUUUAAAGACGCUAGAUAAAGCUCGUAAAGUCUCAUCAAAGAUCGAAUCGAGAGGAUGGCUGAGGCAAUUCUAAGAGAAGUGACGAAUGAAAAACACAAGGUGGAACCUACAAGUAGUGGUUAAACUCGUGUCGCCACUCGUUCUCUGUGACUAAACGUUAGUCCGAACGCUCUACACACAUGGUCAUCGAAGAGCAAUGCCAUCAUCCUCAAUCUCGGCCUUUCACCAGGCCACGAGGAUGCACCUGCGAUCAUCGGAUCCAUCGAACGUAGCGAUCGAACUACGUAUAGAGGAAGGUGUUUCGAAGAGUUCUAAUGACGAUACCAUUAGUCAUCGGUGGAUGCUGUGUGUUACUCGGGUCACGUGAGCGCUCCAAAUUAUAUAGAGCGAGAUCUGGGGAUAGCCAAGAGCCCGUAGAGGACGUGAUGGCCCGAUCGUGGCUAGGUCAUCAGCCGCAUCUCCCAAUCGUUCAACCACACACAUUCAUCCAACGUAUUGAGUAUCGAUGAUCCACCGAUCCAGGCGUACCAUCCAACAAGCCGUUUCUUCCGCUAUCGCAAUGUUCUUCGACGAUAACCGAAGAGAUACGAUCGAGACUUUCAGUCCACGAUCAUCGCGUGAAUCAUCGUUUCCUUCAUCGACAUCAAUUUCAUCGUUCGCAAAUGACUUAAGAAGCCGUAAUAAAAAUGAAAUGAGUAGUGGGGAAUCGCAGAAGCCUUGAACCUCGUCCUCGGCGCUAUACAAUGGACUUCGAAGUCAGCGAUAGAUCGAGAGAGAAAGAAAGAUAGAAAGAAAGAAAGAAAGAAAGAAAGAAAGAAAGAGAGCAACAGACUGCACUCGAUCGAUCUUCUUCGACAAGAUCGAUUACGAGCGAGGGAGCAGAAGGCUCACGACGUACGAGGAAAAAGAAAAUCCACACGGGAUCCGGAUACGCGAACCCGCAAGGUCAGACCAGCGUGGGCAGGUAUCCGUAACUCGAUGAUUUUGCAACGAUCGCGCUUCCUGCUGGCAAUUGAUUAAUGGUAGCCGCAACGUCGACACCGCGUGCUACUUUAUAUACGUACUGACUACUCGUCUCUAUCGCCUUCGUGGAUAUAUUUACAACAGAAAAAAACAAAUAUGUCGAAAACAUAAAAAUUAGGCAAACAAAAAAUGAUGAAAAAGAAAAAGAA
Molecule: long non-coding RNA, 1584 nt
Organism: Vespula vulgaris
Lineage: Eukaryota; Metazoa; Arthropoda; Insecta; Hymenoptera; Vespidae
Exons: 9
Source: RefSeq, a predicted model, not a curated record